This 264-nucleotide ribosomal RNA is filed under the name uncultured bacterium. RNAcentral's name for it is "partial 16S ribosomal RNA". It matches the Rfam family "Bacterial small subunit ribosomal RNA", at positions 335 to 596 of the family's 1533-position model. The record is from RNAcentral.
UCCCUACGGGGGGCAGCAGUGAGGAAUAUUGGUCAAUGGGCUUACGCCUGAACCAGCCAAGUCGCGUGAGGGAAGACUGCCCUAUGGGUUGUAAACCUCUUUUGUCAGGGAGCAACGCCGGCUACGUGUAGCCGGACUGAGAGUACCUGAAGAAAAAGCAUCGGCUAACUCCGUGCCAGCAGCCGCGGUAAUACGGAGGAUGCGAGCGUUAUCCGGAUUUAUUGGGUUUAAAGGGUGCGUAGGCGGUUUUUUAAGUUAGUGGUU